CUCAGCCUCCUCACGCUGCUGCACCGGGAAGUUCUACGCCGGGAGGAGCCCACUCGCCUAAAUCUUCCUCCCCUGUUUCUCCUACUACUUCUCCUCCGGGAUCAAUGGCCCCUAAAUCCGGUUCCCAUGGUUCUCCGAUGACUUCACCGCCGGGAUCAAUGGCUCCUAAAUCCGAUACUCCUGUUUCUCCGGCGACUUCUCCCCCGGCUCCACCUAAAUCCACUUCCCCUGUUUCCCCAUCCUCCGCUCCGAUGACUUCACCGCCGGCACCAAUGGCACCCAAAUCAUCUUCCACUGUUCCUCCGUCUUCUGCUCCGAUGACUUCACCACCUGGACCAAUGGCACCUAAAUCUUCAACCCCUGUUUCAAACUCACCCGCCGUUUCUCCAUCUUUGGCUCCGGGAGGCUCU
RNAcentral lists this long non-coding RNA (410 nucleotides) under Arabidopsis lyrata. RNAcentral describes it as "long non-coding RNA (ALYR_LNC000803)". Lineage: Eukaryota; Viridiplantae; Streptophyta; Magnoliopsida; Brassicales; Brassicaceae. The record is from RNAcentral.